GUGCGUAAUAGCUCACUAGUCGAGUGACACUGCGCCGAAAAUGUACCGGGGCUAAACAUAUUACCGAAGCUGUGGAUUGUCCUUUGGACAAUGGUAGGAGAGCGUUCUAAGGGCGUCGAAGCAUGAUCGCAAGGACAUGUGGAGCGCUUAGAAGUGAGAAUGCCGGUGUGAGUAGCGAAAGACGGGUGAGAAUCCCGUCCACCGAUUGACUAAGGUUUCCAGAGGAAGGCUCGUCCGCUCUGGGUUAGUCGGGUCCUAAGCUGAGGCCGACAGGCGUAGGCGAUGGAUAACAGGUUGAUAUUCCUGUACCACCUAGUAUCGUUUUAAUCGAUGGGGGGACGCAGUAGGAUAGGCGAAGCGUGCUGUUGGAGUGCACGUCCAAGCAGUAAGGCUGAGUGUUAGGCAAAUCCGGCACUCAUAAGGCUGAGCUGUGAUGGGGAGAGGAAAUUGUUUCCUCGAGUCGUUGAUUUCACACUGCCGAGAAAAGCCUCUAGAUAGAUAACAGGUGCCCGUACCGCAAACCGACACAGGUAGUCAAGAUGAGAAUUCUAAGGUGAGCGAGCGAACUCUCGUUAAGGAACUCGGCAAAAUGACCCCGUAACUUCGGGAGAAGGGGUGCUCUUUAGGGUUCACGCCCAGAAGAGCCGCAGUGAAUAGGCCCAAGCGACUGUUUAUCAAAAACACAGGUCUCUGCUAAACCGUAAGGUGAUGUAUAGGGGCUGACGCCUGCCCGGUGCUGGAAGGUUAAGAGGAGUGGUUAGCUUCUGCGAAGCUACGAAUCGAAGCCCCAGUAAACGGCGGCCGUAACUAUAACGGUCCUAAGGUAGCGAAAUUCCUUGUCGGGUAAGUUCCGACCCGCACGAAAGGCGUAACGAUUUGGGCACUGUCUCAACGAGAGACUCGGUGAAAUCAUAGUACCUGUGAAGAUGCAGGUUACCCGCGACAGGACGGAAAGACCCCGUGGAGCUUUACUGUAGCCUGAUAUUGAAAUUCGGCACAGCUUGUACAGGAUAGGUAGGAGCCUUUGAAACGUGAGCGCUAGCUUACGUGGAGGCGUUGGUGGGAUACUACCCUAGCUGUGUUGGCUUUCUAACCCGCACCACUUAUCGUGGUGGGAGACAGUGUCAGGCGGGCAGUUUGACUGGGGCGGUCGCCUCCUAAAAGGUAACGGAGGCGCUCAAAGGUUCCCUCAGAAUGGUUGGAAAUCAUUCAUAGAGUGUAAAGGCAUAAGGGAGCUUGACUGCGAGACCUACAAGUCGAGCAGGGUCGAAAGACGGACUUAGUGAUCCGGUGGUUCCGCAUGGAAGGGCCAUCGCUCAACGGAUAAAAGCUACCCCGGGGAUAACAGGCUUAUCUCCCCCAAGAGUUCACAUCGACGGGGAGGUUUGGCACCUCGAUGUCGGCUCAUCGCAUCCUGGGGCUGUAGUCGGUCCCAAGGGUUGGGCUGUUCGCCCAUUAAAGCGGUACGCGAGCUGGGUUCAGAACGUCGUGAGACAGUUCGGUCCCUAUCCGUCGUGGGCGUAGGAAAUUUGAGAGGAGCUGUCCUUAGUACGAGAGGACCGGGAUGGACAUACCUCUGGUGUACCAGUUGUCGUGCCAACGGCAUAGCUGGGUAGCUAUGUAUGGACGGGAUAAGUGCUGAAAGCAUCUAAGCAUGAAGCCCCCCUCAAGAUGAGAUUUCCCAACUUCGGUUAUAAGAUCCCUCGAAGAUGACGAGGUUAAUAGGUUCGAGGUGGAAGCGUGGUGACACGUGGAGCUGACGAAUACUAAUCGAUCGAAGACUUAAUCAAUUUUUAAA
RNAcentral lists this ribosomal RNA (1798 nucleotides) under Staphylococcus epidermidis. Its description in RNAcentral is "bacterial LSU rRNA". It matches the Rfam family "Bacterial large subunit ribosomal RNA", at positions 1130 to 2925 of the family's 2925-position model. The record is from RNAcentral. Lineage: Bacteria; Bacillati; Bacillota; Bacilli; Caryophanales; Staphylococcaceae.